GUGAAAGUGGGAGUAUUUUCAUAACGUCGGUUAAAACAAAGAUAUACUACCUGAGGACCUAUUGCAAUUCACACAAGACAAAAAGGAGGAGGACAGUCGUCCAUGAGGAGUAGGCCAGAUGUCUCCCACCUGCUCCAGCUGAGCUGAGCUCCAUGUUGGACUGCUGCAGCAUCCAACCUGAGAUCCAGCCACGCACUACUCGCUGUUCCACAUCUUUAACUUGUCCCGCGGAUCUUUUUUGAUGUAUGACUACGUGCUGGUGGUGGCCAAGUUAAACUACAGCUCAUGUAACAGCAGGAUGGUGAUCUGUUCUGAUAAGAAAGACAAUGAAGACAUCAUGAAAGGGGAUUAUAAAGACACGAAGUCAAUGAGAAGGAAAUAAUGGAAGUAAGAAAUGCAUGUGAGACACAAUGAGAUAAAAAGUAAAGUGGGAUACAAUCAUGAUGAAGUGCAGUUGAGACUGAGUGAAUGGUUGAAAGAACAGAAUCAGGUCAAGAAUGAGAAGGCCUCGUACUGCACUGUAGUGUCAUUUAGAUUUAUGCAUGUUUAAGACAAAAUCGAAAACAGUCUGAGGGAAACCUCGUCUGUGAGAUAAAGUGAGUUGACUUUGUGUGUGUGUUUGCCCAUAAGGAAGA
Long non-coding RNA from Monopterus albus (swamp eel), 635 nucleotides. RefSeq lists it as uncharacterized. The record is from RefSeq and is a predicted model, not a curated record. The transcript is spliced from 4 exons. NCBI's taxonomy places the organism in Eukaryota, Metazoa, Chordata, Actinopteri, Synbranchiformes, Synbranchidae.